AUUGAACGCUGGCGGUAUGCUUAACACAUGCAAGUCGAACGGUAGCAGGCCUUCGGGCGCUGACGAGUGGCGGACGGGUGAGUAACGCGUAGGAAUCUGCCUCAUAGUGGGGGACAACGUGGGGAAACUCACGCUAAUACCGCAUACGCCCUACGGGGAAAGCGGGGGAGUCUUCGGACCUCGCGCUAUGAGAUGAGCCUGCGUUAGAUUAGCUAGUUGGUAGGGUAAAGGCCUACCAAGGCGACGAUCUAUAGCUGGUCUGAGAGGACGAUCAGCCACACUGGGACUGAGACACGGCCCAGACUCCUACGGGAGGCAGCAGUGGGGAAUAUUGGACAAUGGGCGCAAGCCUGAUCCAGCAAUACCGCGUGUGUGAAGAAAGGCCUUAGGGUUGUAAAGCACUUUCAAUUGGGAGGAAAACCUGUCGGUCAAUACCCGGCAGCUUGACAUUACCUUUAGAAGAAGCACCGGCUAACUCCGUGCCAGCAGCCGCGGUAAU
Molecule: ribosomal RNA, 499 nt
Filed under: uncultured bacterium
Lineage: Bacteria
Description: bacterial SSU rRNA
Rfam family: Bacterial small subunit ribosomal RNA
Source: RNAcentral